This 492-nucleotide ribosomal RNA is filed under the name uncultured bacterium. RNAcentral's name for it is "partial 16S ribosomal RNA". It matches the Rfam family "Bacterial small subunit ribosomal RNA", at positions 29 to 507 of the family's 1533-position model. The record is from RNAcentral.
AGUGAACGCUGGCGGUAGGCCUAACACAUGCGAGUCGAACGGCAGCACAGUAAGAGCUUGCUCUUACGGGUGGCGAGUGGCGGACGGGUGAGGAAUACAUCGGAAUCUACUUUUUCGUGGGGGAUAACGUAGGGAAACUUACGCUAAUACCGCAUACGACCUACGGGUGAAAGCAGGGGAUCUUCGGACCUUGCGCGAUUGAAUGAGCCGAUGUCGGAUUAGCUAGUUGGCGGGGUAAAGGCCCACCAAGGCGACGAUCCGUAGCUGGUCUGAGAGGAUGAUCAGCCACACUGGAACUGAGACACGGUCCAGACUCCUACGGGAGGCAGCAGUGGGGAAUAUUGGACAAUUGGCGCAAGCCUGAUCCAGCCAUACCGCGUGGGUGAAGAAGGCCUUCGGGUUGUAAAGCCCUUUUGUUGGGAAAGAAAAGCAGCAGGUUAAUACCCCGCUGUUCUGACGGUACCCAAAGAAUAAGCACCGGCUAACUUCGUG